Mytilus trossulus (common blue mussel) is the source of this 548-nucleotide long non-coding RNA. RefSeq lists it as uncharacterized. The transcript has 3 exons. Lineage: Eukaryota; Metazoa; Mollusca; Bivalvia; Mytilida; Mytilidae. The record is from RefSeq and is a predicted model, not a curated record.
UGAUGUUUACCAAUAGUGAUGUCACGCAAUAUUUUCCAGAUCACGUGCACGUGUUGAUGUUAUGAUAACGGUGUGUGCUCACAUGGAUGUGAAUCAGGAUGGGAAGGUACAUUAUGUGAAGUGAAUAAGCCCGCUAAGCAGAAAAGAAUUUCCGGUGGCUCAGUGGCAGGAAUAGUUAGUGGAUGCGUAGCUGCUGUGAUUUUAUUCGUCAUUUUGUCAUAUUUCAUAUAUAGACGAACUUCACGAAUUAACGAGGACAAUUCCUUCCGUAUGAACAAACUACAAUACUGAACAGUAAAGAAUCAAACGGAAGCAAAUAAACAUCAUGUUCGUUAUACCAUAUAUCCAUAACCGUACAUUUGUUAAAAACAUACACCACUUAUUUGGUCUUAACAAGCAACAUUGACAUACUUAUUGAGUUCUUACAUUUUAGUGAACAACUUCCAACGGGAGUUAUAUAUAUUUUACAAUGUGUUUUGAAUCAAUCAGUGACGUUUCAUCAUUACAUGAUCGACUUUAUUUAAAAUAUUGAAAACAACACGUUAUUA